UGAGUACGAGCUGCUACGGCAGCGAAGUGGGUGAUGUCAAGCUUCCAAGAAAAGCCCUAUACCCGUUAAGGCAUGACGGCCUGUACCCGAAACCGACACAGGUGGGGUGGUAGAGAAUACCGAGGGGCGCGAGAUAACUCUCUCUAAGGAACUCGGCAAAAUGGCCCCGUAACUUCGGGAUAAGGGGUGCCACCGCAAGGUGGUCGCAGUGAAGAGGCCCAGGCGACUGUUUACCAAAAACACAGGUCUCCGCUAAGUCGCAAGACGAUGUAUGGGGGCUGACGCCUGCCCAGUGCCGGAAGGUUAAGGAAGCUGGUCAGCGCAAGCGAAGCUAGCGACUGAAGCCCCGGUGAACGGCGGCCGUAACUAUAACGGUCCUAAGGUAGCGAAAUUCCUUGUCGGGUAAGUUCCGACCCGCACGAAAGGCGUAACGAUCUGGGCGCUGUCUCGGAGAGAGGCUCGGCGAAAUAGAAUUGUCUGUGAAGAUGCGGACUACGUGCACCCGGACAGAAAGACCCUAUGAAGCUUUACUGUAGCUUGGUAUUGUGCUCGGGCUCUGAAUGCGCAGGAUAGGUGGGAGGCUAUGAACCAUUGCUUGCGGGUGAUGGUGAGCCAACGGUGAGAUACCACUCUUUCAGAGCUAGGGUUCUAACGGUCACCCGUUAUCCGGGGACCGGACAGUAUCAGGUGGGCAUUUUGACUGGGGCGGUCGCCUCCUAAAAGGUAACGGAGGCGCGCAAAGGUUCCCUCAGGCUGGUUGGAAAUCAGCCGACGAGUGUAAAGGCAGAAGGGAGCUUGACUGUGAGACCUACAAGUCGAACAGGGACGAAAGUCGGCCUUAGUGAUCCGACGGUUCUGAGUGGAAGGGCCGUCGCUCAACGGAUAAAAGUUACUCUAGGAUAACAGGCUGAUCUCCCCCAAGAGUUCACAUCGACGGGGAGGUUUGGCACCUCGAUGUCGGCUCAUCGCAACCUGGGGCUGAAGUCGGUCCCAAGGGUUGGGCUGUUCGCCCAUUAAAGCGGUACGCGAGCUGGGUUCAGAACGUCGUGAGACAGUUCGGUCCAUAUCCGGUGCAUGCGCAGGAACAUUGAGAGGAUUUCUCCCUAGUACGAGAGGACCGGGAGGAACGCACCUCUGGUGUACCAGUUAUCGUGCCAACGGUAAACGCUGGGUAGCCAUGUGCGGAGCGGAUAACCGCUGAAAGCAUCUAAGUGGGAAGCCCACCUCAAGAUGAGUGUUCCCAUGGCAAAAGCCAGUAAGGUCACGGGCAGAACACCCGUUGAUAGGCUCUACGUGGAAGCGCAGCAAUGCGUGAAGCGGAGGAGUACUAAUAGACCGAGGGCUUGACC
Molecule: ribosomal RNA, 1349 nt
Filed under: metagenome
Description: bacterial LSU rRNA
Rfam family: Bacterial large subunit ribosomal RNA
Source: RNAcentral